CCCAGGCCUGCCUCGAAUUUAUGGUGAUCGUCCUGCCUCAGCCUCCUGCGCGCUGGAUUAUAGUCCUGUGCCCUCAAACCCAGCUGGCCCCAGCACUUCUGAAGGAGGCGGGGGUCCCGGGCGCUGUGGGCUGGAUCAGUGUGGGCAGGAAUGAAGGUCCCAGGGACAGCUGCUCCCCGGUCGGGAGGGCCCUUCCACGCAGGCGGCCCAGCGCAGCGGUGCCUGGAGCUGGAAGCAGCCUGCUGGGGCCCAGCCCCGCCAAGACCCCUGGGGCCUCAGGGCUGUUUGUCACGGACCGCGUCCCAGUCCCCAAGCCCGGAGGUCCCUUCCAGUCUGCCGGUGGCGUCCUCUGAAGCACAAUGGAUGCCAGUUGUUUGUGAUCAGAAGCCGAGCAAGAUGGAAAUAAAGAUUUUACUACUUACAGACCUGGAGGCCACAGAGGCUGGCGCCUGGUGUCCUGGGCUGGGUGUGGGUGUGGCACAGCCCUGAGACUGCGGCAGGUCCCCAGGGAGGGUGCAGUGGCACUGUGGGAUCCCAGCUUUGAGGGUGAGCUGUGAGACUGCCCAUCUUGAGGACCAACAGUGAGGGACAGAGGCCGGGGCCUCAGCAAGUCUUCGAGCACUGGGGCCGCUGGGACGAGUUUGUUUCUGCAGGCUGGGUUCUGGUGGCCUCAGGGAAGGUGCUGGGUGCGAACGGCCCCCACCUCACCCCGGGGAGACCAAGGCCAGCUGCAGCUGGGACCGAGGUAGGGAUCGAUCCCUUGUACCCUACAUCCACGAGGGAGCCUCCUCACACCCUGCCUGAGCUUGCUGGGAGCUGGCCCGCCAGUCACUGGGGCUGCCUGCCUGGUCACCACAGACCUUUGGCCUCAGCAGUUGGCCCGGGCCUGAGUGGCCACAUCCCGAGGGUUAGAUUUUCUGGCAGCAGUGGGCACCAUGUGCUCCACCUGCUUAGACUCAUCAGGCAGUGGCAGGGGAGGGGCCAGCAUGCGUGUGUGGGACCCCAGGGCUGUGCAGGAGCCCAGGGCCAUGUGGAGGAGGGAGGGUACCAAGGCAGGGCCUGUCCCUGGCGAUGCCGAGGCGGGGGAGCCCCUGGGCCCAUGAGGGCUUGGAUCUGUAACCACAAACUACUUUCCUCCUCCUCGUCUACUUCCUUCUUUUUUCAGUACCCAAGGGCUUCACACUGAAUUAUAUCCCAUUCUUUUUGU
This is a non-coding RNA of Heterocephalus glaber (naked mole-rat), 1207 nucleotides long. The record is from RefSeq and is a predicted model, not a curated record. NCBI's taxonomy places the organism in Eukaryota, Metazoa, Chordata, Mammalia, Rodentia, Bathyergidae.